UCCCGCUUCUUCCUGCCCGCUGCCGUCAUCAUGGUUGUCCUCCACCAGCUCUCCGCGUGGCCGCCGCCGUCCGCCGAUGGACGUCGACUCUGACCUGGCCGACAAGGGCAAGCCCACCCAGAUGGACCUCGAGGACCAGGCUUCUAUACAUCUACAGGUUUCUGUAAUUGAUAGGUUAACAAGCUUUUCUAAUUUAUUUAUUUUUUGGUGAUUGUUGCUUUUGCUGGAUCAAGCAUCAUGAGUGAAUAGUCCUGAUAGCCGAGUUUUUUUUUUUUUUUGCAACGCAUGAAGAACCAUAUGCUCUCAUUUUAAUUUUCAUUUGUUCAGUCAUGAAUUGUUUGUGCAAUAUAUUCAGAAAAGUGCUCCCAUCUGAAUUUCAUUUGUUCAGUGAUAUAUUUGUGUGUGCAAUAUUUGGAAAACUGCCAAUAGCAUCAUCAUCAGGUUCUCUGAUAUUUUUUAUAAAUGAAAACUCUAGAAGCUUGAUUCAAUAGCAGUUCACUGAAAUUUUGUGGUUCAACAGAGCAUAUCAAUUGAUUUUCUCUGAACUGCUCUCUACAUAUGAUCCUUUUGAUCAUAGUUUUUCGCUGAAUAUUUUGGUUGAACAAAGCAGUUGUAGUCCCCUAUGAGCUUUUUUCUGCUGUAGAUGUAGUUCAUGUUCUGAUUUUUUUUUUGUUGAUGAACAGAUUUCUCAAUUUUGGUCUACUUGAUUUUUCAUCCAUAGACUACAGGAAUGCUCUGAAUUUGUGGAGUUUUCUGCACCUCAGCUGACGAUCAUGGGGGAGGCUGCAACCCCAGCGAGGCAGGAGGAUGUUUUCCAGGUGGCGGGUCACGCCUCGUCGAUAGCAUAGAUCACACAUGGGCAGAGGAAGCUGUGGAUAGCAUGAUGGGUCUGCUAGCUGCAAGUUCAUUGGGUGGAGCUUUCUCUUGGGGGGUGCUUUUGCCUGCCAUGGUAAGGCCAGCAAGAUGGGAUGAGGCUUCAGCUGGCUAGUGGGGAUGGAGAUGAAAUCAGAAAUCAGGAUUUACUGUCUUUUGUAGUUAAUAAUCAGCGUCGUCGGCCCUGAUCUACAUUUGCUAUAUUAGUGCUGGCAUCGAUCGGUAUCGGCAUAUGUAUUAGCGGGUGGUGUUGAUUUGAUUUUGUUUAUUAGUUUUGUGUUUUUCUGCCGAUGUAUCAUUGCGUGCAUUAUCAGAUUGUUGAUGUAACACCGACACUGGAUCAAACAAUUCAUGUUUGUAAAGAAAUUAUUAAAUUGUGGUUAGGUUAAUAAUAUGAAUCAUAAUCUUUUACCUUCA
Molecule: non-coding RNA, 1290 nt
Organism: Oryza sativa Japonica Group (Japanese rice)
Lineage: Eukaryota; Viridiplantae; Streptophyta; Magnoliopsida; Poales; Poaceae
Source: RefSeq, a predicted model, not a curated record